AACUUUUAACAAUGGAUCUCUUGGUUCUGGCAUCGAUGAAGAACGCAGCGAAAUGCGAUAAGUAGUGUGAAUUGCAGAAUUCAGUGAAUCAUCGAAUCUUUGAACGCACAUUGCGCCCCUCGGUAUUCCGUGGGGCAUGCCUGUUCGAGCGUCAUUU
This 157-nucleotide ribosomal RNA is filed under the name Pteris tremula. RNAcentral's name for it is "5.8S ribosomal RNA". It matches the Rfam family "5.8S ribosomal RNA". Rfam says of the family: 5.8S ribosomal RNA (5.8S rRNA) is a component of the large subunit of the eukaryotic ribosome. The record is from RNAcentral. RNAcentral also lists the same sequence under 2 other names. Lineage: Eukaryota; Viridiplantae; Streptophyta; Polypodiopsida; Polypodiales; Pteridaceae.